Molecule: long non-coding RNA, 596 nt
Filed under: Prunus persica (peach)
Lineage: Eukaryota; Viridiplantae; Streptophyta; Magnoliopsida; Rosales; Rosaceae
Description: long non-coding RNA (PPER_LNC000659)
Source: RNAcentral
CCAAUUCAAUAUUUUUAAGUUCCACAAACUCAAUCCAAUUAAAAUAGUUCAAUUGAGCCAACAAGGUCUAACUCACUGGAAAAAGGCCUUGACCUGCAGACAAGAGGUCUCAAGUUUGAACCCCUAUGACAUCUUAGUUAUGUGUAGGGAUGACAUAAAUCCCUGUCGAGCUGGGCCCCUGAACCUAAUGGGGAGACAUUUCAGGGGCAAAUCAAGGACGGGUACAGGGAUCCCCUAAUUUUGAAAGCCCCUGACAGGACCCGCCCCGGAUUCCCCCUUGACACGUACCCGAUACCGGACCUACUUUACUAAACGCCCUAAAGCCCUAGCUUAAGGGAUAAACAAAUCGACUUUUGUCGAAAUUUCAGCAGAGCCUUCCUUGAAAAAAGGACUGUACCAAAAAUUUCCACAUGUACAAACAGCAGAAGAAUAUAUUCCAAUAAGCAGCACACACAAUGCUAAAGCACACACCAUAGUUAAGACUAUUGAAAUGAGCUUCAUGCCCCCUACUCGAACUCGAAAUGAGUAAGUAGAGCAAUUAAGAAUUUAAUUUACAACCUGGGAAAGAAUAAGGGUAGAGAAAAGUUGUAACACCC